GAUGAACGCUGGCGGCGUGCCUAAUACAUGCAAGUCGAGCGAACAGACGAGGAGCUUGCUCCUCUGAUGUUAGCGGCGGGCGGGUGAGUAACACGUGGAUAACCUACCUAUAAGACUGGGAUAACUUCGGGAAACCGGAGCUAAUACCGGAUAACAUGUUGAACCGCAUGGUUCAACAGUGAAAGACGGUUUUGCUGUCACUUAUAGAUGGAUCCGCGCCGCAUUAGCUAGUUGGUAAGGUAACGGCUUACCAAGGCAACGAUGCGUAGCCGACCUGAGAGGGUGAUCGGCCACACUGGAACUGAGACACGGUCCAGACUCCUACGGGAGGCAGCAGUAGGGAAUCUUCCGCAAUGGGCGAAAGCCUGACGGAGCAACGCCGCGUGAGUGAAGAAGGUCUUCGGAUCGUAAAACUCUGUUAUUAGGGAAGAACAAAUGUGUAAGUAACUAUGCACGUCUUGACGGUACCUAAUCAGAAAGCCACGGCUAACUACGUG
Molecule: ribosomal RNA, 497 nt
Filed under: uncultured bacterium
Lineage: Bacteria
Description: partial 16S ribosomal RNA
Rfam family: Bacterial small subunit ribosomal RNA
Source: RNAcentral